Carya illinoinensis is the source of this 1175-nucleotide long non-coding RNA. RefSeq lists it as uncharacterized. Lineage: Eukaryota; Viridiplantae; Streptophyta; Magnoliopsida; Fagales; Juglandaceae. The record is from RefSeq and is a predicted model, not a curated record. The transcript is spliced from 2 exons.
UAUAAGUUGAAGCUCCUUCAUGACACAACCAAUUUAACUUAUCAAAAAAAUAAGUUAAAUGGUCCUUCAUCACAUAGUUAAAAAUUAUUACGUCAUAACUAAAAUACCCGCCCAUAUGGCACUUGAUAUGUGUAAUUCUCAUAUAUCAUAAUGUGUCAUUUAUGGUAACUAGUUUCUAACUGUUAUUUCAGAAUUCAUGUUAGACCUCUAUCAUGGUAGUUGUAUGUGCUAAUUUUUUGAAGGAUAUUAGUUUGCACAUUCUCGUGGACAAAAACAGGAAAAAAUUUAGCUCAUUCCCAUUGAUUACUUCUUUGUUGUACUUGAUUUGAUUUUAAGAAUAUAACAAAUGCAUAUUUGGCAUACUUCUGUAAACUCAAUUUAGAAAAUUUGGUUUUGGCUUAAGCCAAGAGUUGAACUCAAAAUUCAACUUGGAUCUUACACUUGCCCCGAAUAGUUUGGCAGUAUGCUAGCCCUUUUCUCCAUAAAUUUUCUAAACUUCAAAUUCGAUUAGCUAUUGCCAUUCUUGCUAAAAGCAGAUGCAAUUUUUUUUUUACCUUGCACAUACUAUUAACCCAUUAAUAAAAAUAUGUGAUAAUAAUGUUCAGUUUUUUAUUUUUCAGAAUCAAUCAUGUCAGCAUCAUCAUCUGUACUUAAUGAUAAUGUCUUGGAAUCUCCAACUUGUUGGUGUGGUUUGAAAACACCACUAAAGACAUCUCACACGUCGAAAAAUCCCGGAAGGAGAUUUUUCGCUUGCCCAAACUAUAAAACGGGAGAAGCAAGGUGUGAAUUUUUUGUAUGGGCCGAUAUACUUCAUUUGCUAGAGGAAAAUUUUCGUGCCCGUGAGAAUAAGGCGACAAGUAUUUCGUGGAAUGAAGUAUUACAGCGCGAGUAUGCCGUUCGGAAACGAGAAGAUAAAGUGAGAGAAAUGGCAAAGAAUCUGAAAAAGAAAAAGCGAAAACUUUUGAUUUUCUACUGGAUUCUGACAUUUGUAAUAGUGUUUAUUUGGUUUGGAUAAAUACUAUGUAAAGUAGUUGGGCGAACUCUUUUGGGUUUUGCAUGGUUCUUUUGAGGUGCACAUGGUUUGUGGAUCAAGACCAUGUAUGUAAAUUGUAUGGUGUUAACCUAUAAGACUGUGACGAACUUUUGUGCAAUUAAAUUAAUUUUGGUAGACUUUA